This 914-nucleotide ribosomal RNA is filed under the name uncultured archaeon. RNAcentral's name for it is "bacterial SSU rRNA". It matches the Rfam family "Archaeal small subunit ribosomal RNA", at positions 1 to 922 of the family's 1478-position model. The record is from RNAcentral.
UUCCGGUUGAUCCCGCCGGACCUGACUGCUAUCGGAUUGAUACUAAGCCAUGCGAGUCUUUGCAGUAAUGCAAGGCAUACGGCUCAGUAACACGUAGUCAACUUACCCUAUGGACGAGGAUAAUCUCGGGAAACUGAGCAUAAUACUCGAUAGAUCAUAAUGCCUGGAAUGGUUUAUGGUUGAAAUGAUUCGUCGCCAUAGGAUGGGACUGCGGCCUAUCAGCUUGUUGGUGAGGUAAUGGCCCACCAAGGCGAUUACAGGUACGGGCUCUGAGAGGAGAAGCCCGGAGAUGGGUACUGAGACAAGGACCCAGGCCCUAUGGGGCGCAGCAGGCGAGAAAACUUUGCAAUGUGCGAAAGCACGACAAGGUUAAUCCGAGUGAUUUCUGCUAAAGAAAUCUUUUGCAAGUCAUAAAACCACUAGUGAAUAAGGGGUGGGCAAGUUCUGGUGUCAGCCGCCGCGGUAAAACCAGCACCUCAAGUGGUCAGGAGGAUUAUUGGGCCUAAAGCAUCCGUAGCCGGCUCUGUAAGUUUUCGGUUAAAUCCAUGUGCUCAACGCAUGGGCUGCCGAAAAUACUGCAUAGCUAGGGAGUGGGAGAGGUAGACGGUACUCGGUAGGAAGGGGUAAAAUCCUUUGAUCUCUCGAUGACCACCUGUGGCGAAGGCGGUCUACCAGAACACGUUCGACGGUGAGGGAUGAAAGCUGGGGGAGCAAACCGGAUUAGAUACCCGGGUAGUCCCAGCUGUAAACGAUGCAGACUCGAUGAUGCAUUGGCAUAUAGCCAGUGCAGUGUCGCAGGGAAGCCGUUAAGUCUGCCGCCUGGGAAGUACGUACGCAAGUAUGAAACUUAAAGGAAUUGGCGGGGGAGCACCACAAGGGGUGAAGCCUGCGGUUCAAUUGGAAUCAACGCCGGA